CAAGUCGAGCGGCCUCACAGUAAGAGCUUGCUCUUACCGGUGGCGAGUGGCGGACGGGUGAGGAAUGCAUCGCAUUCUACUCUGACGGGGGGGAUAACGUAGGGAAACUUACGCUAAUACCGCAUAUCACCUACGGGUGAAAGCAUGGGAUCUUCAGACCUUGCGCGAUUGAUUGAGCCGAUGCCCGAUUAGCUAUUUGGCGGGGUAAAAGCCCCCCAAGGCCACGAUCGGUAUCUGGUCUGAAAGGAUGAUCAGCCUCACUGGAACUGAGACACGGUCCAGACUCCUACUCCAGGCAGCAGUGGGGAAUAUUGGACAAUGGGCGCGAGCCUGAUCCAGCCAUACCGCGUGGGUGAAAAAGGCCUUCGGUUUGUAAAGCCCUUUUGUUGGUAAAAAAAAGCAACCGGUUAAUACCCGGUUGUUCUGACCGUACCCAAACAAUAAGCACCGGCUAACUUCAUGCCCGCGCCCGCGGUAAUACGAAUGGUGCAAGCGUUACUCUUAAUUACUGGUCGUAAAGCGUGCGUACGUGGUUGUUUAAGUCUGUCUUGAAAGCCCUGGGCUCAACCUGGGAAUGGCAAUGGAAACUGGGCGACUAGAAUGUGGCUGAGGAUAAUGGAAUUCCUGGUGUACCAGUGAAAUGCAUAUAGAUCAAGAGGAACAUCAGUGGCGAAGGCGACUGCCUGGGCCAACACUGACACUGAGGCACGAAAGCGUGGGGAGCAAACAGGAUUAGAUACACUGGUAGUCCACGCCCUAAACGAUGCGAACUGGAUGUUGGGUGCAAAUUUGUCACGCACUAUCGAAGCUAACGCGAUAAGUUCGCCGCCUGGGCAGUACGGUCGCAAGACUGAAACUCAAACGGAAUUGACGUGGGCGCGCACCAGCGGUGCAGUAUGUGGUUUAAUUCGAUGCAACGCGACGAACCUUACCUUGACCUUGACAUGCACGGCAUCUUUACACACAUGGAUUGGUGCGUUCCGCAUCCGUGACACAAGUGCUGCAUGGCUGUCGUCAGCUCGUCUCUCGAGAUGU
This 1035-nucleotide ribosomal RNA is filed under the name Stenotrophomonas acidaminiphila. RNAcentral's name for it is "bacterial SSU rRNA". It matches the Rfam family "Bacterial small subunit ribosomal RNA", at positions 58 to 1075 of the family's 1533-position model. Lineage: Bacteria; Pseudomonadati; Pseudomonadota; Gammaproteobacteria; Lysobacterales; Lysobacteraceae. The record is from RNAcentral.